UGUUCAUACCUAGUAGCAAUAUGAGAAAAGAAACUAGAUAUGUAUUAAUUCUAUAUGCAAAUAUAAAUAAAUAUACACAUAUAUAUGUGCACACACAUAUCUAUGCAAAAAUAAAAAGUAUUAAAAAUCUAGAGUGGUGAUAUCAUAUUAUAAGUGCUCAAGAACUGUUGGUGGAAUAAUGGUUACAAUCAUUUUGGAUGGAAGUUUUGAAAGUUUCUACCAAAAUACAAAUGUACAUAUUCUUUGAUUCACUAAAUCUACUUGUAUGAAUAUAUCUGGCUAAUGAUAACAAAUAUCUAGCACUAAUUGAGUGUUUAAUGUUGCCAAGCAUUGUCCAAAAUGCCUUAUAUAUCUAGUUGUCAUUUAAGUCUCAAAAAUCUUUAUGUGGAAGGCCCAAUUAUUAUAAGUCUCAUUUACAGUAAGGAAACUAAGUGCAGAUAAGUUAAGUAAAUACAGAGAGGGGUUAUGUGGAGCCAGGACCUGAAAUAAUCCAGGUAGUCUGCUACCAACUCUUUUUUAGGUUGCUAUGUUGUUUAAACAAAUCCUACCAGGUUCAAAAGAUACUGCUUCAAGAACGCUUCUGUAACUUAUAAUAACACACAACCACAAGCCGACAAAUGUUUGUCACUAUGGGUAUGAUUAAAUAAGUUUUGAUAUAUCCAUGCAGUACAGUAUUAUUUAGUUCCAAGGUAGAAUGAUAUAAUCUUAUGUGAAUUCUGUGUAAAACAUUAUAGGACAAACUAGUUAAAAGAAAGGAAAUUAAAACAGUAUCUAUUAUAUGAUCUUAUUUACUUAAUAUAUGUAUAUAUGUCUAUAUAUGUAUACAAAUGCAUGGGAAAAGGAUUUGAAGGAUAGGCAUCAAAUGCUUCACAGAGGGUUAUUUUGGAGUAGGGGGAAACAGCAGUGGUGACUGAAACAUAUAUUUUGCCUCUGACAAAUAUAAUAAGAAAAAAUUGAGUUCAAUGAACUCUAAAAACAAAACCAACCAACCAAUCAACUAACCAAACAACAAAUAUUGUCUCUUUAUUCACACAGUUUAGUGGAGGGAAGAAAUACUUUAAAAAUGCAUAAAUACUACAACAGGGGAGGCCAUUGGAGUUCCCGGAAAAACGCUAAUAAACAUUACACAUGAAUCAUGAAUGUCGGUGGAUGAUGAUGGCACUUUAUGCAGAGAUGAAGAAAGAUAUUAGAAUUGUUUACCUGGGGAUAUGAUAUAGAAGAAAUCUUUAAAUUCAUCCAUCCAAACUUC
Long non-coding RNA from Felis catus (domestic cat), 1249 nucleotides. RefSeq lists it as uncharacterized. The transcript is spliced from 2 exons. Lineage: Eukaryota; Metazoa; Chordata; Mammalia; Carnivora; Felidae. The record is from RefSeq and is a predicted model, not a curated record.